This 61-nucleotide non-coding RNA is filed under the name unclassified sequences. RNAcentral describes it as "GP20-b RNA". It matches the Rfam family "GP20-b RNA". The record is from RNAcentral.
GGUCCACCUGCGGACCUAACAAUGCAGGACGGCGGGAGAUGGCGACCUCCUAAAACGCCUA